This 547-nucleotide ribosomal RNA is filed under the name Trechosiella scotti. RNAcentral describes it as "SSU rRNA". It matches the Rfam family "Eukaryotic small subunit ribosomal RNA", at positions 22 to 538 of the family's 1831-position model. The record is from RNAcentral. Lineage: Eukaryota; Metazoa; Arthropoda; Insecta; Coleoptera; Carabidae.
AGUCAUAUGCUUGUCUCAAAGAUUAAGCCAUGCAUGUCUCAGUACAAACCAAAUUAAGGUGAAACCGCGAAAGGCUCAUUAAAUCAGUUAUGGUUCCUUAGAUCGUACCCACAUUUACUUGGAUAACUGUGGUAAUUCUAGAGCUAAUACAUGCACACAGAGCUCCAACCGGAUACGGAAGGAGUGCUUUUAUUAGAUCAAAACCAAUCGGCGACAAUGUAGUUCCGCUAUGUUGUUUGUCGCAAUACUUGGUGACUCUGAAUAACUUUUAGCUGAUCGCACGGUCUUGCACCGGCGACGCAUCUUUCAAAUGUCUGCCUUAUCAACUGUCGAUGGUAGGUUCUGCGCCUACCAUGGUUGUAACGGGUAACGGGGAAUCAGGGUUCGAUUCCGGAGAGGGAGCCUGAGAAACGGCUACCACAUCCAAGGAAGGCAGCAGGCGCGCAAAUUACCCACUCCCAGCUCGGGGAGGUAGUGACGAAAAAUAACGAUACGGGACUCAUCCGAGGCCCCGUAAUCGGAAUGAGAACACUUUAAAUCCUAUAAC